AUUGAACGCUGGCGGCAGGCUUAACACAUGCAAGUCGAGCGGAGCGAGGGUGCUUGCACCUUAGCUUAGCGGCGGACGGGUGAGUAAUGCUUAGGAAUCUGCCUAUUAGUGGGGGACAACAUUCCGAAAGGGAUGCUAAUACCGCAUACGCCCUACGGGGGAAAGCAGGGGAUCUUCGGACCUUGCGCUAAUAGAUGAGCCUAAGUCGGAUUAGCUAGUUGGUGGGGUAAAGGCCUACCAAGGCGACGAUCUGUAGCGGGUCUGAGAGGAUGAUCCGCCACACUGGGACUGGAACACGGCCCAGACUCCUACGGGAGGCAGCAGUGGGGAAUAUUGGACAAUGGGCGGAAGCCUGAUCCAGCCAUGCCGCGUGUGUGAAGAAGGCCUUUUGGUUGUAAAGCACUUUAAGCGAGGAGGAGGCUACUAGUAUUAAUACUACUGGAUAGUGGACGUUACUCGCAGAAUAAGCACCGGCUAACUCUGUGCCAGCAGCCGCGGUAA
RNAcentral lists this ribosomal RNA (501 nucleotides) under uncultured bacterium. RNAcentral's name for it is "partial 16S ribosomal RNA". It matches the Rfam family "Bacterial small subunit ribosomal RNA", at positions 30 to 523 of the family's 1533-position model. The record is from RNAcentral.